Molecule: ribosomal RNA, 482 nt
Filed under: uncultured bacterium
Lineage: Bacteria
Description: partial 16S ribosomal RNA
Rfam family: Bacterial small subunit ribosomal RNA
Source: RNAcentral
GACGAACGCUGGCGGCGUGCUUAACACAUGCAAGUCGAACGAUGAAGAAGAGAAACGCGAACUUCGGUUCAAAUUUCACUUCGGAUUAGUGGCAGACGGGUGAGUAACGCGUGAGCAACCUACCUCUUACAAAGGGAUAGCCUCGGGAAACCGUGAUUAAUACCAUAUGACACAUUCAUAAGGCAUCUUAAGAAUGUUAAAGCUACGGCGGUAAGAGAUGGGCUCGCGUCCCAUUAGCUAGUUGGUGAGGUAACGGCCCACCAAGGCGACGAUGGGUAACCGGCCUGAGAGGGUGAACGGUCACAUUGGAACUGAGACACGGUCCAAACUCCUACGGGAGGCAGCAGUGGGGAAUAUUGCACAAUGGAGGGAACUCUGAUGCAGCGACGCCGCGUGAGCGAUGAAGGAAUUCGUUUCGUAAAGCUCUGUUCUAUGGGAGGAAAAGGACUGUACCAUAGGAGAAAGCCCCGGCUAAAUACGUG